RNAcentral lists this unclassified non-coding RNA (426 nucleotides) under Hevea brasiliensis (rubber tree). The record is from RNAcentral. Lineage: Eukaryota; Viridiplantae; Streptophyta; Magnoliopsida; Malpighiales; Euphorbiaceae.
UGUUCAAGCUCGCUGGAGAUUUGGUAAGCUCAUAAUCUUAUUACAUCAACACAUAACAACUUAAAUGUUUCAUCCUGUUUAGUGUAUCUUAAUCCCAUUAAGAUUCAUUAAAUUCUAACAGAAUCGAGUGUCGGUGGUCUCUGCAUAAUUUGGUCUUUGUAAAAUUUCUGUUUGUUUUGGACAGCAGACUACUACUACUACUCGGCACUUGCAUGAGGUUUAUGUGGGGUCCAUUAGAAACACACCAAUCACGGGUUGGUCGUCACUUUUGCCCUGACUCCCUUGGCCCCCUUAAUGGCAAAAUAGGAAAUUUGUAAAUCACACCACCAACUAUAGCAACUCCUAUGAGUAUGUUAACGUGAUUAGUUGGGAGGAAUUAUGGUUCCUAAUCCUAAAUUCUAUCGCUUGAUUACUUUUACCUACCAA